Rosa chinensis is the source of this 2015-nucleotide long non-coding RNA. RefSeq lists it as uncharacterized. The transcript is spliced from 3 exons. NCBI's taxonomy places the organism in Eukaryota, Viridiplantae, Streptophyta, Magnoliopsida, Rosales, Rosaceae. The record is from RefSeq and is a predicted model, not a curated record.
UACUGGUAUUCGCUGGUUUAGUUAUUUUCAUGACUAUCUCAGGCUUUGGUACCGGCGAGAGAGUUGGUACAUUUAUUGACGCCUUUUAUGUGGCUUACUGUACGGUCUUCUCAGUUGGUUUCGGCGAUAUUUCUCCUCUGAAGUCUCUUACUCGGAUUCUUUGUGAUGUGCUGGGAUUGGUGGUUAGACCUAUUGUAGUGAUGGUACACACUCAUUUUUUGGGUCGGCUAGCAUGCGAGUUGGAGCGGCGGAUUUCAUCUCGCUUUCUUAUGAGAUAUUGAGUGUAUUCAGCUCUUGGUAUGAUCUUGCUGACUCUAUUUUUUGGGAUGGCUAGCAUUUAUAUCUUAGAGUGGCUGCACCUAGCUAGUGGAUCUCCAUCUCCAUCUCCAUCUCCUUCCACUAUGUUACCUACUGAUGCAUACGCAUGGGUCCUCUUUGUUGACAUAUUCCACCUCUCAGUUAUGAUGAUGAUUACCACUGGAUUUGGAGAUUUCGUCUUCACUACUGCAUCUGGGAGAGCGUUUGCCAUAGUAUGGGUUCCUUUCUCUACUAUAGUGUUUAUGGUUGCGAGUACGUUCUUGGCUCAGACUUUUUUGUUCUAUCUUGCACCUAUCAUUGGAGGUUACAGCUUGCCCCAGGGGAUCCAUCGUCACUGAUGAGCAUGGAGGAUCCAGUUUCGUCAUUCUUGGAUACAUUUGUCAUGUUGAUGAUAGUAUUAGUAUUUCUUUCCGGACAGAUACAGUGUUAGUAGUGUUUAUGGAUAUAUAGUGCCACAUAUAAUUCAGGUUUUGGUCUUAAAGAGUCAUCCUUUUUAGUGGUUUUGUUUACUUGGGUUUAGAGCAGCUUUCGUGGUUUAGGCUGGUGUUCUUUUAAAUUUGAUUUCUAGUUGGAGGAUUUGGUUGGGACUGCAGUGACUUCGGCUUCUUUGUUUGCAUGUCCAAGUCACAUAAGGUAUAGAAUUUGACUGAUAGGACCUGGACUUUGGUGUUUUUGAUCCAAGACAACAAAAUUAGUAUUUUGGCAUACCAAAUAUAGGUGUGAACUUAGAAAAGUCCUUCAUGAUUACAGUUCUCUAUAAGGAAUUUUGCAAUACACCCACUGAUGUUUGAGGUAAAGCUGUUUAAAUUUUUAUGUUCCAUUGGUAUUCCAAUUCUAAUAUUACUCUUAUUCGUCCAAGCUCAAAAGUACAUUUGUUAUUUUUAUGUUCGUAGUGUACAAUUAUGCCUCGCCCUUUGCAAGUUGAUGACAUGCUCUAAAUUCUGCCCGUUUUUUUUUUUUUUUGUUGCAAGCUAUGUGUAUCAAUUGAAAUGAUCCUAUGAACACCUGAUGGCUUCCAAUUUUGUGGUGUUUUCAUACGUCUUUGUCGGCAUUGCAAGUAUGUGACAAGUGUAGUAGCUCUACUGGUUAUAAAAGAGUACACAUAUUUUAGCUUAUAAAGUUUGUAUUUCCAUUUUAUUAUCAGUUGUUUUAUUCUGCUUGGAGAUCUGGAUGAAGUUUAAUGGAUAUUGUUAUCUAAAGCUUUAUCCUUUCCUUUUUUGGUAGGUUUUGGAAUUUGGUUUGUUCAUACCUAAGAAUUUGGACUCAGUAAUUGGAGAACCGGGGAAGAAAGAAACAAAUAGCUGGUUAUUUUAUCAUUUCUUCGUUUGUUUAAAAUCUUUCCACCUUCAUAUAUACUAUGCCGUGUCAUUUGACUUUUGAGAAGAGCGGGGGGCGUGGCGCUGGCGUUUGGGGGCUAUUCAUGGAGCAAGCCAUGAGCGAGUGGCCAAAUUACACGUUGAGGAGGAAGAAGCAAUGGUUGGAGAACAACCACGACAACAAGUUUAGUUAGAUUCACCAUUUUUUGAAUGGAGUACUUCAGCUGAUCAAACAUCGUUCUUACCAUCCUAAGCCAGUUUUGGACACUACUGAAGUCAAACAUGUAAAAAAAGUUCCAUGGUUCGAACUCGUUGAGUGAAAUCCAAAGUGAAUGUCUAUGUACUUAGAAAUGAGUUGGAAUAUUCCGAUUAAUCAGUGAU